UACAGAGGUGGCAAGCGUUGUUCGGAAUUACUGGGCGUAAAGGGCGCGUAGGCGGCUUUUUAAGUCAGACGUGAAAUCCCCCGGCUUAACCUGGGAACUGCGUCUGAUACUGGAAGGCUUGAGUAUGGGAGAGGAAUGUGGAAUUCCAGGUGUAGCGGUGAAAUGCGUAGAUAUCUGGAGGAACACCGGUGGCGAAGGCGGCAUUCUGGACCAUUACUGACGCUGAUGCGCGAAAGCUAGGGGAGCAAACGGG
RNAcentral lists this ribosomal RNA (253 nucleotides) under uncultured bacterium. RNAcentral describes it as "partial 16S ribosomal RNA". It matches the Rfam family "Bacterial small subunit ribosomal RNA", at positions 524 to 776 of the family's 1533-position model. The record is from RNAcentral.